Molecule: ribosomal RNA, 274 nt
Filed under: uncultured bacterium
Lineage: Bacteria
Description: partial 16S ribosomal RNA
Rfam family: Bacterial small subunit ribosomal RNA
Source: RNAcentral
AUACGGAGGGUGCGAGCGUUAAUCGGAAUUACUGGGCGUAAAGCGUACGUAGGCGGUUGGUUAAGUUAGAUGUGAAAGCCCCGGGCUUAACCUGGGAACUGCAUUUAAAACUGGCGAACUAGAGUUGAGUAGAGGGGAGUGGAAUUUCAGGUGUAGCGGUGAAAUGCGUGGAGAUCUGAAGGAACACCAGUGGCGAAGGCGACUCCCUGGACUCGAACUGACGCUGAGGUACGAAAGCGUGGGUAGCAAACGGGAUUAGAAACCCUAGUAGUCC